This is a long non-coding RNA of Leopardus geoffroyi (Geoffroy's cat), 2064 nucleotides long. RefSeq lists it as uncharacterized. Lineage: Eukaryota; Metazoa; Chordata; Mammalia; Carnivora; Felidae. The transcript has 2 exons. The record is from RefSeq and is a predicted model, not a curated record.
AGGAAGCUUUUGAACAUAGGUAGCUUGAAAUCUAGAUACUUUAUUUGAAAUUAUUAAAAGAACAUGUCAACAACUGUCAAAUUGGGUAUGGUACAAUAAUCAAUUUUAUGUUUCUGUGUGCUUAUAGUUAAUUAGCAUUUUCUAAUGGUUAGGCUAGUGUUAUUUUAUUGCUACAACUAUAAUUAGAGUUCAUUCUCAUAUCUCCCAUGUUAGAAAUCAAAACAAAUGAGAACGAACUGAAAUAAUAUCCAUUACAUGCUACAGGAAAAAUAUCAAGAAGGGGGUGCUAACAGUAGCAAAUGAUCUAUGUUACAAUGAAAUAUAGCUAUUUUUGCUUUUUAAGAUUCUAUUUAUGAACCCAAUUGUACUAGGCAAACUGUAUGUGCAGAAAAUUUCAAGAACCAGAUACCCCAAGGAGGUAUUAAAAGGGAGAAAUAUAGUGGAGCGCAAAGUACGAUGUUCUCAACAAAGGUCUCAAAAAUAUGCACCAAAAGAGCAAAAAUGAGACAAAACUGCUACAAACAGAUCACUCUGACAAGUAAGUGCUUUUGGAAUGAAAAAUUAAUUUUUUGGCUAAUCUUUCCCUCUCAUUAUACAGAUGAGGCUCUAUGGCUUCUCCUCUCCAUUAUAUAGAUGAGGGAGACCAAUUGAUUUUUCCAAAGCUUACAAAGGUACAUUUCACACAUGGCUUAGAUCGGGGAGCCUUUUUGUGAAGAGGAUAGCAGAAUGUUUAAAUUCUCUUCAACUUAGUAAUAUAAUUUGUAGAAUUAAGAGGUUUUAAGAUUCUCUUAUAUACAUUUUUAUAUAUUAUAAACAUACAAGGUUAUAUAGAUUAUCAUACAUAACUAUAUAUAAUGUAUAUAAUUGUGUGUGUGUGUGUGUGUGUAUACAUCUCAUCCUGAGUCCUUUUUAGCGUUAUCUCAUUACUGUUCAAAAAUAUAAAAAAGAAUUUAUAAUAAAAGAUAUGGUUGUGUUCAGAUAUAAUUGGGAUAAGACCACCUAAUAUGUAUUUAUCUUUAAUAUCCAAGAUUUUUUUCAAAUAUAACUAAGCACAAUAAGAACAUUCUACCACAGGUUAGUUUCAAACAAGAUUACUCAACCGUGGCGCUACUAAUAUUUGGGCAGGAUAAUUCUUUGUUUUGAGGGGCUGUCCAAUGCAUGAUAGGGUAUCUAGCAGCAUCCGUGGCCUCUACCCACCCCUAGAUGCUAGUAAUACCCCUAGUCACAAGCAAAAAUGUCUCUUGACAUUGCAAAAUGUCCCCUCGGGGCAAAACUCCUUGGUUUAAAAACACUGGUUUUAACAUCAUGUCUACAACAAAGCAAAUACAACUUCCAGCUGUAUGAUAACACUCUGAAGUCAACUAUGAUUAACCUAGAGGUGAAUUUUUAUUCUAAUUCAAAAUAUAUCAUGGCUAGACCCAAGUUAAAUUAAUUAUACCAGUUUUUGUCUAGAGCUGAACUUCCAGUACAGUAGUCAGUCACUAGUCACAUCGGAAGGGAGAUGUAUAGUGAGGGUGAAAUACGCACUGGAUUUUGAAGACUUGACAGAAAAAAAGAAUGUAAAAAUAUCGUAAUUUUUAUGUUAACUGAGCUAGUUUGGGUAUACUUGGUGAAAUAUUAAAAUUAAUUUCAUCUGCUUUUACUUUUUUUAAAGGUGCUACUAUAAAAUUCUAAGUUACAUAUAUGGCUCACAUUAUAUUUCCAUUGGACAACAAUGGCCUAGAGACUGGAAGUGAUUUAGUAUUAAUUUAUAAUAAAUUCUUCAGUCUACCAAAUAAGCUACAAAGACUUUGUAAAGCUCUCCACAGCCCUAUGAAACCAGCUCAUAACUCUUUUGAGCAUCACAAUUCUUUAUUGUCAUGCCUAAAUGAUUUGUCUCCUUCUUUAAACCAAUUACUUCUAUUCCAAUGCUUUAUUCUCAGUGUUUCAACUGGUUCUUUUCUGAUUGUUGAUUUAUCUUCAUGUUGUUUUUUAUCAUUCUUUUGCAUGUUAGUUUCUUUUGUACACUCAGGCUCUUUCCUUGUGGGAUGUUGAGAUGCUGCGGCAUCCAUCAUACUUAGAAAA